This 1188-nucleotide ribosomal RNA is filed under the name Triticum aestivum (bread wheat). Its description in RNAcentral is "partial small subunit ribosomal RNA". The record is from RNAcentral. Lineage: Eukaryota; Viridiplantae; Streptophyta; Magnoliopsida; Poales; Poaceae.
AUGCCGGCUUCUUCUUCCAGCGCUCGAAGCAGCCGCGGGGCCACAUGCCUCGUGCUGAUUCUCCUGCUCGUCAGCCUGCGAGAAGCCUCUGCCACGCGUCCGCUGCGGCAGGCCGACGAUGUGAAGGACCAGGCGAUCGUUGACAAGUACGCGCCGCUCCUGCUCACAAUGCUGCCGAGUACAAGAUACUCUCACCGAUUGAAGAUGAUACUGGCAACAACUUUAAAAGAUGAAACUGUUUUUGCUCAUCCCUCGCGGGGACGGGUUCCUUGCGGGUACGAAAACCCCGACGGGGCAGGGAUAGGAAAAAAAAACUGCCUCCUUCCGCCGGAGACUUGGAGCCUCGGCGCCGCCUCCCUCGCCUCCCUCCCUAACCCUCUGAGCCGCCGGAGACUUGGAGCCUCGGCGCCGCCUCCCUCGCCUCCCUCCCUAACCCUUGGAGCCGCCGGAGACUUGGAGCCUCGGUGCCGCCUCCACGUCCACCAGGGAGAGGAGGCCCCACGUCCACCGGGACAGGAGGCCCGCGACCUCUCCGCCUCCCCCAAGCUCGCCGUCUCCGUCCUCCGUUGUCUCCGCUCCGGCCACCACCUCAUCAUGGUCAGUUCACCGUCCCGGAUCUCCGACUGCAUCGCCUCCCGCGGCGGCAACAUCCACAAUGUCGACGUCUUCGUCCCCGACGACGCCCCCGUCUUCUACGCCCGCAGGUACCCCAUCCAACUCACCCCCGCCUCCAUUUCCCACCUCUCCCUCUCUGCUCCUCCCUCCUUGCCCUCUCCCAAGGUCAAGAAGGCGGCCCCUUCCUCCGAAUCACCGCCCACCGCCUCCUCGACACUGGCGCCCGAGAAGGCCGUGUCGGCGCCCCCCGCCGCCCUCGCGUCGGACUCGCCGCCCGCGCCCAAGCUCAGUCCCACCCCCAUGCCCUACGAGGUGCACCACUGGCCGACCAAGUCCCAGACGUCCCCGUCCCCGCCGCCGCCGGACUACGCGCCGCCCCUGCCGCCUAAGCCCAGGCCAGAGCCCAGGCUAUCCAAGCUCGAGGUGUUCUUCACCUGUGGCCUUAAGAUCGAUAGAAAUGGUGAACAACCUUUAGGUCCCAGGAAUCUACUCAAGGCUGCAGACACUUCUUGUCUCACUUCUUUUGUCAUCGAUGGUGUAUUUGAGCUCGGGAGCAGAGAAUCCACGUCCUGA